Molecule: ribosomal RNA, 95 nt
Filed under: Staphylococcus aureus
Lineage: Bacteria; Bacillati; Bacillota; Bacilli; Caryophanales; Staphylococcaceae
Source: RNAcentral
GCCGACACCUGUUCCCAUGCCGAACACAGAAGUUAAGCUCCUUAGCGUCGAUGGUAGUCGAACUUACGUUCCGCUAGAGUAGAACGUUGCCAGGC